UACGUAGGGUGCGAGCGUUGUCCGGAUUUAUUGGGCGUAAAGAGCUCGUAGGCGGUCUGUCGCGUCGGCUGUGAAAACCCGGAGCUCAACUCCGGGCCUGCAGUCGAUACGGGCAGACUGGAGUUCGGCAGGGGAGACUGGAAUUCCUGGUGUAGCGGUGAAAUGCGCAGAUAUCGGGAAGAACACCCGUGGCGAAGGCGGCUACUCUGGGACGGUACUGACGCUGAGACGCGAAAGCGUGGGGAGCGAACAGG
Molecule: ribosomal RNA, 254 nt
Filed under: uncultured bacterium
Lineage: Bacteria
Description: partial 16S ribosomal RNA
Rfam family: Bacterial small subunit ribosomal RNA
Source: RNAcentral